UACGUAGGGGGCGAGCGUUGUCCGGAUUUAUUGGGCGUAAAGAGCUCGUAGGCGGUUCGAUAAGUCGGAUGUGAAAUCUCCACGCUCAACGUGGAGAGGCCAUUCGAUACUGUCGUGACUCGAGUCCGGUAGGGGAGUGUGGAAUUCCCGGUGUAGCGGUGAAAUGCGCAGAGAUCGGGAGGAACACCCGUAGCGAAGGCGGCACUCUGGGCCGGUACUGACGCUGAGGUGCGAAAGCGUGGGGAGCAAACAGG
RNAcentral lists this ribosomal RNA (254 nucleotides) under uncultured bacterium. RNAcentral's name for it is "partial 16S ribosomal RNA". It matches the Rfam family "Bacterial small subunit ribosomal RNA", at positions 524 to 776 of the family's 1533-position model. The record is from RNAcentral.